GAUGAACGCUGGCGGCGUGCUUAACACAUGCAAGUCGAACGAUGAAGCCCAGCUUGCUGGGUGGAUUAGUGGCGAACGGGUGAGUAACGCGUGAGUAACCUGCCCUUAACUCUGGGAUAAGCCUGGGAAACUGGGUCUAAUACCGGAUAGGAGCGUCCACCGCAUGGUGGGUGUUGGAAAGAUUUAUCGGUUUUGGAUGGACUCGCGGCCUAUCAGCUUGUUGGUGAGGUAAUGGCUCACCAAGUCGACGACGGGUAGCCGGCCUGAGAGGGUGACCGGCCACACUGGGACUGAGACACGGCCCAGACUCCUACGGGAGGCAGCAGUGGGGAAUAUUGCACAAUGGGCGCAAGCCUGAUGCAGCGACGCCGCGUGAGGGAUGACGGCCUUCGGGUUGUAAACCUCUUUCAGUAGGGAAGAAGCGAAAGUGACGGUACCUGCAGAAGAAGCACCGGCUAACUACGUG
RNAcentral lists this ribosomal RNA (466 nucleotides) under uncultured bacterium. RNAcentral describes it as "partial 16S ribosomal RNA". It matches the Rfam family "Bacterial small subunit ribosomal RNA", at positions 28 to 507 of the family's 1533-position model. The record is from RNAcentral.